UGCCCGAUAGCUCAAGUGGUAGAGCGGCCGGCUGUUAACCGGUUGGUUGCAGGUUCGAGUCCUGCUCGGGCAGCCC
Molecule: transfer RNA, 76 nt
Filed under: Chloroflexota bacterium
Lineage: Bacteria; Bacillati; Chloroflexota
Also listed under: 1 other name
Description: tRNA-Asn
Rfam family: tRNA
About the family: Transfer RNA (tRNA) molecules are approximately 80 nucleotides in length. Their secondary structure includes four short double-helical elements and three loops (D, anti-codon, and T loops).
Source: RNAcentral